UACGUAGGGGGCAAGCGUUAUCCGGAUUUACUGGGUGUAAAGGGGGCGCAGACGGCAAUGCAAGCCAGGAGUGAAAGCCCGGGGCCCAACCCCGGGACUGCUCUUGGAACUGCAUGGCUGGAGUACAGGAGGGGCAGGCGGAAUUCCUAGUGUAGCGGUGAAAUGCGUAGAUAUUAGGAGGAACACCGGUGGCGAAGGCGGCUCUCUGGCCUGUAACUGACACUGAGGCUCGAAAGCGUGGGGAGCAAACAGG
RNAcentral lists this ribosomal RNA (253 nucleotides) under uncultured bacterium. RNAcentral's name for it is "partial 16S ribosomal RNA". It matches the Rfam family "Bacterial small subunit ribosomal RNA", at positions 524 to 776 of the family's 1533-position model. The record is from RNAcentral.